This 1703-nucleotide long non-coding RNA is filed under the name Salmo salar (Atlantic salmon). Its description in RNAcentral is "lncRNA (ENSSSAG00000105242.1)". Lineage: Eukaryota; Metazoa; Chordata; Actinopteri; Salmoniformes; Salmonidae. The record is from RNAcentral.
CCUGUGUGUAUUUAAAUAUGCUCUCUCUAAUUCUCUCUUUCUCUCUUUCUGUCUUUCUCUCGGAGGACCUGAGCCCUAGGACCAUGCCUCAGGACUACCUGGUAUGAUGACUCCUUGCUGUCCCCAGUCCACCUGGCCGUGCUGCUGCUCCAGUUUCAACUGUUCUGCCUGCGGCUAUGGAACCCUGACCUGUUCACCGGACGUGCUUGUUGCACCCUCGACAACUACUAUGAUUAUUAUUAUUUGACCAUGCUGGUCAUUUAUGAACAUUUUAACAUUUUAACAUUUUGACCAUGUUCUGUUUUAAUAUCCACCCUGCACAGCCAGAAGAGGACUGGCCACCCCUCAUAGCCUGGUUCCUCUCUAGGUUUCUUCCUAGGUUUUUGGCCUUUCUAGGGAGUUUUUCCUAGGGAGUUUUUCCUAGCCACCGUGCUUCUUUCACAUGCUUUGCUUGCUGUUUGGGGUUUUAGGCUGGGUUUCUGUACAGCACUUUGAGAAUAUCAGCUGAUGUACGAAGGGCUAUAUAAAAAUAAAUUUGAUUUUGAUUUGAUGAUGGGAGCACAUUUCCAGACACAUUAAACUAAACCCACUCAUCACUAGCUAACACAUGUCCUGGGACAGGAGAGAUGGAGGAAUGUUUUUUUAAAUGUAUUUCCUGGGUACGUAUUUGAAUAAGGAUAUUCAACAUCUGCAUCCCAAAUUAUAGCAUGUUCCCUACAUUGUGCACUACCCAUAGGGCUCUGAUCAAAAGUAGUGCACUAUGCAGGGAAUAGGGUACCAUUUGGGAUGAAAACCGGGGUAAGAGAAUGGGGAUUUCACGCUUGGCUAAACUAAACCCUUUUAAAGAUGUUGUAGUUACUUUUUAGAAAGCCCCAGUUCCCAAUGUAGAACAAAGGUAAUUUCUCCCUUUAAACAGCCCUGAUCCAGCCCGGCCACCGCCUCAUUAGCUGGUAAAUCCCCGAGGACCCUUGGGGUGCUUCCUCUGAGAAGGAGGGCCCUUUAAGAAAACACACAGCUGAGGUGCUAGUGGGUUGCAUCCCAAAUGGCACCCUAUUCCCUAUAUAGUGUGGUAAUUUUGACAAAAGUAAUGCACUACAGAAGGAAUAGGGUGUUAUUAGAGACUCAGACAGAGUGAUGAGGGGCCAUAGGGAUUUGGAGUCCCAGGGCAGGGUGGGCGGGGUGAGGGGCUUCCAGUUUCAGCCAUCCACCUUGGUUGAUGAGGGGCCUUAGUGAGGCUUGUGGUCAUAGAAGAUGGGUGAGGCAAACACUGAGUAAACACCCUCCUCCCAUCCCCUGUGUGUGUGUGUGUGUGUGUGUGUGUGUGUGUGUGUGUGUGUGUGUGUGUGUGUGUGUGUGUGUGUGUGUGUGUGUGUGUGUGUGUGUGUGUGUGUGUGUGUGUGUGUGUGUGUGUGUGUGUGUGCGUGCGCAUGUGCGCCUGCGCAUGCAUGUGUGUAUGCGAGCCAAGGCGGGUUAGGACUGGGGUGGAAGGUUAAGCCACUGAGAGAGGAAUGCCAAUUAACAUUGACUUGAUGCGUUCACACAGACCUGCUUUGGGUUGGGUGGACUUGAACCUGGAGAUGUAAGCCAUGGAAGAGCAGUGUUUUUGCCAGUUUUUCACCAGACUGAAACAUGUAAUUUCCUAUUGGCGCAAGAGACUGGUUUUGAGAAAAGCCUUAGAGCGAAAUCAUCUGCAUUAAACAGUC